UACAGAGGGGGCAAGCGUUAUUCGGAAUUAUUAGGCGUAAAGGGCGCGUAGGCGGCCUGGCAAGUGGAAGGUGAAAUCCCUCGGCUUAACCGAGGAACUGCCCUCCAAACUGCUUGGCUUGAGUCCGGGAGAGGUGAGUGGAAUUCCCAGUGUAGCGGUGAAAUGCGUAGAUAUUGGGAGGAACACCAGUGGCGAAGGCGGCUCACUGGACCGGAACUGACGCUGAGGCGCGAAAGCGUGGGGAGCGAACAGG
RNAcentral lists this ribosomal RNA (253 nucleotides) under uncultured bacterium. Its description in RNAcentral is "partial 16S ribosomal RNA". It matches the Rfam family "Bacterial small subunit ribosomal RNA", at positions 524 to 776 of the family's 1533-position model. The record is from RNAcentral.